AUCUCUUGGUAUUUACCACAGGCUGUGUUCUUACAUAGACUAUAUAGAUAACAAGGAAGAAAAAUAAACCUAUCCCAUAUACAGCUCAGCGCAGGCCCUGUGCCUGGUCUGUAUUGUAAAUGGGAAGACACAG
Molecule: small nucleolar RNA, 133 nt
Filed under: Castor canadensis (American beaver)
Lineage: Eukaryota; Metazoa; Chordata; Mammalia; Rodentia; Castoridae
Description: Small nucleolar RNA SNORA51 (ENSCCNG00000028105.1)
Rfam family: Small nucleolar RNA SNORA51
About the family: ACA51 is a member of the H/ACA class of snoRNA that guide the sites of modification of uridines to pseudouridines.
Source: RNAcentral